AGGGUUUGAUUAUGGCUCAGAACGUACGCUGGCGGCACGCCUAACACAUGCAAGUCGAACGAAGUAGCAAUACUUAGUGGCAGACGGGUGAGUAACAUGUAGGUAUCUGCCCUUUGGCCUGGAAUAACACGAGGAAACUUGUGCUAAUACCGGAUAAGUCUUUACGGAGAAAGCUUUAUGCACCAUUGGAUGAGCCUGCACUUGAUUAGUUUGUUGGUGGGGUAAUGGCCUACCAAGACUGUGAUCAAUAGCUGAUUUGAGAGGAUGAUCAGCCACAUUGGGACUGAGACACGGCCCAAACUCCUACGGGAGGCAGCAGUGGGGAAUCUUGCACAAUGGAGGAAACUCUGAUGCAGCGAUGCCGCGUGAGUGAAGAAGGCCCUUGGGUUGUAAAGCUCUUUCGUCGGGGAAGAAAAUGACUGUACCCGAAUAAGAAGGUCCGGCUAACUUCGUGCCAGCCGCCGCGGUAAUUC
Molecule: ribosomal RNA, 473 nt
Filed under: uncultured bacterium
Lineage: Bacteria
Description: bacterial SSU rRNA
Rfam family: Bacterial small subunit ribosomal RNA
Source: RNAcentral